UACGUAGGGGGCUAGCGUUGUCCGGAAUCAUUGGGCGUAGAGCGCGCGUAGGCGGCCCGGUAAGUCCGCUGUAAAAGUCAAAGGCUCAACCUUUGAAUGUCAGUGGAUACUGCCGGGCUAGAGUCCGGAAGAGGCGAGUGGAACUCCUGGUGUAGCGGUGGAAUGCGCAGAUAUCAGGAAGAACACCCGUGGCGAAGGCGGCUCUCUGGGACGGUACUAACGCUGAGACGCGAAAGCGUGGGGAGCGAACAGG
RNAcentral lists this ribosomal RNA (253 nucleotides) under uncultured bacterium. RNAcentral's name for it is "partial 16S ribosomal RNA". It matches the Rfam family "Bacterial small subunit ribosomal RNA", at positions 524 to 776 of the family's 1533-position model. The record is from RNAcentral.